This is a long non-coding RNA of Podarcis raffonei (Aeolian wall lizard), 1732 nucleotides long. RefSeq lists it as uncharacterized. Lineage: Eukaryota; Metazoa; Chordata; Lepidosauria; Squamata; Lacertidae. The transcript has 3 exons. The record is from RefSeq and is a predicted model, not a curated record.
ACAACGUCUCUGGCCGCGGUUGCCGAGCGAGAGCGCCCGGGUCUCUUUCGGUGUACGUCUAUGGGGGAGAGAAGAUGGCUCCCUCCCCUGAGGAGGUGGAUGUUUUCACGGCCCCGCACUGGCGGAGGAAGCAACUCGUCGGGCUUUAUUGUGACAAGCUUUCUAAGACCAACUUCAACAACAACAAUGACUUCGGGGCUCUCCUCCAAUCCCCAUAUGCUACUUUUAAGGAAUUCAGAAUGCAUGAACAAAUUGAAGAUGAAUACAUAAUUGGAUUACUUCCGCAACGUGGCUGGGCUGUGUGUAGUGUACACUCAGACAAUAAAUUCCCAGAAAUGCUUGGCUUCUGAGAAAGGGUUGGAGAAUGUGAAGUUUGAGACCAUCCAGGGGGCAGAGCCCCCAAGAAGAGGAGUCGCCUUGUGGGGAGGCCUUGGGCUGCAGGUGAGUUGAUCCUGAGUGGUGCAGGGAGGGGAGAGAGGUUACUGGUUUCCAUAGAAACACAUCACCUGUAGUUUCCCAAGAAAAAAGAUGUUCCUAAGAGAUUUGCCCUGUACAACCAACCAGGUGCUUGGGGUUUAUUGACACCCAAGGCUCUCACUGGCCCCUUUUAAGAUAUGUAGGCACCUGGCUGUCUCAGGAGACAAUGGAGGAGUGAGGUCCUUUUGGGGGGAAGUCAAACUGCUGGAAGGUGGCCUGCUGUGGCCAUAGAGGCUGAUGGGGAGAGAUGUGUUCUGUUGCAUCUGGCGCAGAAGAAGGCAUCCAGUUGUGCUGCUGCAGAUGCACCAGGGCAUUUCAUCUCUCUGCACUCCUCCUAGCAGUCAUUCCUUCUCCGGUCAUUUCUGUGGAUACACAACUAUUAGGCAUUCAUGCACUGCAACCCAGUUCAUCUCAGGGCUAUCCAUAGCCAAUUGGUGAGUGACACAGAGUCACAAAGCCUUAAUCAGAUGAGGAACAACCCCUGUCCCUUGUAAGAGAGGGCAUCAGUGGGAGCUGCAAAAGCAUUUCCUCCUCCUUGCAUUCGAGAUGUUUACUUCGGUGUUUCCCGGUCACCAUGCCACAUUUGCAUCUGAGCGAGGGACAGGUAGUACACCAGUUCAGCUCAGGUUUUGAGACGAUAACAAUUAUGGGGGUUAAGGUAGCCAUUAUUUCUCCUUUGGUCCAUUGACCGAUAGGUAGAUGCAACUGCAGACCACAGAGAGGGAUGUCUGAAGAAGUGGGGAUCCUCUCUUGAGAGGCAGCAGGAGGUUCUGCUGCUCUUGCUGCCCCACCAGCAGCCAAGGCAGAAAGGAGGCUGGGGAAACCCAGCCAGAUGGGCAGGGUAUAGAUAAUAACAAUAAAAUGCCAGGAGAUUGUCAGGGGUGGAUUUGGGAAGCAGGAAGCAGACAUAGGCAAAGUUAGGAUCCAGGCAUGCUUCUAGCUCCAGAGAUUUUAACCACAGAAAUACUGAAAAGGUGUGUGGUUUUUUUCUUUGUUCCUUCUGCUAUACACAGGAAAUUGUACCCAGGAGCAGAGUGCAUUGCCAGGACCUGUCACACCCUCUUUCUCCAAGCUCCACUUAUACUUACACCCAAAAGCAAAAACAUCCCUCCGUCCCCCCUCAAUAACACCUGCCCACCCACCUCUCAGGUUUCUGCCUCCCACAUCCCAAAAACAUUCCUUCCCACCCCGCAAAAACCCAUCAUUCGUACCCCACAAGUCUCCAUCUCUCCGCACCUCUCAAGAACCCCCAGGG